This 924-nucleotide ribosomal RNA is filed under the name fungal endophyte. RNAcentral's name for it is "eukaryotic LSU rRNA". The stretch from base 393 to 924 matches the Rfam family "Eukaryotic large subunit ribosomal RNA", at positions 1 to 535 of the family's 3401-position model. Lineage: Eukaryota; Fungi. The record is from RNAcentral.
GCAGGUCUCCUGCCGCUAGGAACCCAUAUAACCUUUUUGCAAUAGCAUUAACCCUCUGAAACAAACAAAAUUAUUUACAACUUUCAACAAUGGAUCUCUUGGUUCUGGCAUCGAUGAAGAACGCAGCGAAAUGCGAUAAGUAGUGUGAAUUGCAGAAUUCAGUGAAUCAUCGAAUCUUUGAACGCACAUUGCGCCCCUCGGUAUUCCGUGGGGCAUGCCUGUUCGAGCGUCAUUUACCCCCUCAAGCUCUGCUUGGUGUUGGGCGUCUGUCCCGCCUCGUGCGCGGACUCGCCUUAAAGGUAUUGGCAGCGGUCGUGCCAGCUUCUCGCGCAGCACAUUGCGCUUCUCGGGGCUUCGGCGGAUCAGCGUCCAUUAAGCUUACUUCCACAUUUUGACCUCGGAUCAGGUAGGGAUACCCGCUGAACUUAAGCAUAUCAAUAAGCGGAGGAAAAGAAACCAACAGGGAUUGCCCUAGUAACGGCGAGUGAAGCGGCAACAGCUCAAAUUUGAAAUCUGGCUCUCUUUGGGGGUCCGAGUUGUAAUUUGCAGAGGGUGCUUUGGCGUCGGCAGCGGUCUAAGUUCCUUGGAACAGGACAUCACAGAGGGUGAGAAUCCCGUACGUGGUCGCCUGCCUUCGCCGUGUAAAGCCCCUUCGACGAGUCGAGUUGUUUGGGAAUGCAGCUCUAAAUGGGAGGUAAAUUUCUUCUAAAGCUAAAUACUGGCCAGAGACCGAUAGCGCACAAGUAGAGUGAUCGAAAGAUGAAAAGCACUUUGGAAAGAGAGUCAAACAGCACGUGAAAUUGUUGAAAGGGAAGCGCUUGCAGCCAGACUUGCCCGUAGUUGCUCAUCGGAACUUUUGCUCCGAGCAUUCUUCUGCGGGCAGGCCAGCAUCAGUUUGGGCGACCGGAUAAAGGCCUCUGUCAU